UUAGGGACGGACUGCAUGCAAAGGCAGAUGCUCGUUAACUCCCAUGCUUUGCAGUCAUGCACAUGAAGAGCCUAAGGAAACUUCAAAAGACACUCUUAAGACUCAAGAACCUCUUCUUGCGACAAGCAGCUUAACGAGUUCUCAUGGCGUCCUGGUGCUCCACAAGACCGCUCCAGAAUUAAACGCCUGUUUUAAAGAA
This is a long non-coding RNA of Notolabrus celidotus (New Zealand spotty), 199 nucleotides long. RefSeq lists it as uncharacterized. NCBI's taxonomy places the organism in Eukaryota, Metazoa, Chordata, Actinopteri, Labriformes, Labridae. The record is from RefSeq and is a predicted model, not a curated record. The transcript is spliced from 2 exons.